This 429-nucleotide ribosomal RNA is filed under the name Acidobacteriota bacterium. RNAcentral's name for it is "Acidobacteria bacterium partial 16S ribosomal RNA". It matches the Rfam family "Bacterial small subunit ribosomal RNA", at positions 355 to 776 of the family's 1533-position model. Lineage: Bacteria; Pseudomonadati; Acidobacteriota. The record is from RNAcentral.
UGGGGAAUUUUGGACAAUGGGGGAAACCCUGAUCCAGCCAUCCCGCGUGUGCGAUGAAGGCCUACGGGUUGUAAAGCACUUUUGGCAGGAAAGAAACGUCAUGGGUUAAUACCCCGUGAAACUGACGGUACCUGCAGAAUAAGCACCGGCUAACUACGUGCCAGCAGCCGCGGUAAUACGUAGGGUGCAAGCGUUAAUCGGAAUUACUGGGCGUAAAGCGUGCGCAGGCGGUUCGGAAAGAAAGAUGUGAAAUCCCAGAGCUCAACUUUGGAACUGCAUUUUUAACUACCGGGCUAGAGUGUGUCAGAGGGAGGUGGAAUUCCGCGUGUAGCAGUGAAAUGCGUAGAUAUGCGGAGGAACACCGAUGGCGAAGGCAGCCUCCUGGGAUAACACUGACGAUCAUGCACGAAAGCGUGGGGAGCAAACAGG